GUGAAGACACGUGGUGAUUUGCGGCAUAUUGCGGCCACGCUAAACAAGUCGCUAAAAAGCCUGCCCUGGCGCAGCU
RNAcentral lists this non-coding RNA (76 nucleotides) under Gemmatimonas sp. Lineage: Bacteria; Pseudomonadati; Gemmatimonadota; Gemmatimonadia; Gemmatimonadales; Gemmatimonadaceae. The record is from RNAcentral.